This 640-nucleotide long non-coding RNA is filed under the name Daucus carota (carrot). Its description in RNAcentral is "long non-coding RNA (DCAR_LNC000619)". The record is from RNAcentral. Lineage: Eukaryota; Viridiplantae; Streptophyta; Magnoliopsida; Apiales; Apiaceae.
CAGACUGAGAAGCAGGUGCUGCAUUUGCGUCGGCGGUAUAAGCUGGAGGUUGCGAAUAGGCAUUUCCAUAGCUAUUGUUAUAUGUAGGUGGAGGCUGUCCAUAGGCAGAUUGCGUUGCAGGAGGUGCACCAUAUGGUGGUGGAGCAUAACCUGAAGCUUGUGCAGCACUAUAACCAGCUGCUGGAACUCUUUGAGCACCAGGAUCUGGCUGAGCAUAACCAGUUUGUGACGGGGGAGGUUGAGGAUAGCCUGGCUGCACCUGAGCAGGUUGAACGUAACCCCCUUGGGCAGAAGGGGACUGCUGGGUCUGCCCAUAGGCUUGUUGGGUGGCUGGAGGCUUCUGAGUUUGAGGUGCUCCAUAACUCGAGACAUACCCUGAAGGCGGUUGAGACCCGUACCCAGUUUGUGAAGUUGGUGGCACACCAUAACCCGGCUGAGUUGGCAUCUGGGAUGGGUAGGCAGAAUUAGGACUGGGCUGCUGGCUAGUGUAUCCUUGCUGUCCUGGAGCACUUGAAGGAGGUGCUUGAUUGCCAUCACCUUGAGCCCCAUAAGAUGGAGUUUGCCCAUCCGGUGUUGCGUUAGCAACAUUAGAAUAUCCUGAUGUAGUAUUAUAUGCUUGUUGCUGAUCAUAAACUGGCUG